RNAcentral lists this ribosomal RNA (403 nucleotides) under uncultured prokaryote. RNAcentral describes it as "bacterial SSU rRNA". It matches the Rfam family "Bacterial small subunit ribosomal RNA", at positions 355 to 776 of the family's 1533-position model. The record is from RNAcentral. RNAcentral also lists the same sequence under 1 other name.
UGGGGAAUAUUGCGCAAUGGGCGCAAGCCUGACGCAGCAACGCCGCGUGCGGGAAGAAGGCCCUCGGGUUGUAAACCGCUUUCAGCAGGGAAGACAUCGACGGUACCUGCAGAAGAAGCCCCGGCUAACUACGUGCCAGCAGCCGCGGUAACACGUAGGGGGCGAGCGUUAUCCGGAUUCAUUGGGCGUAAGGCGCGCGCAGGCGGCCGCUCAAGCGGGACCUCUAAUCCCGGGGCUCAACCCCGGGCCGGGUCACGAACUGGGCGGCUCGUGUCCGGUAGGGGAGGUCGGAAUUCCCGGUGUAGCGGUGGAAUGCGCAGAUAUCGGGAAGAACACCGAUGGCGAAGGCAGACCUCUGGGCCGCGACAGACGCUGAGGCGCGAAAGCUAGGGGAGCGAACAGG